CCUACGGGAGGCAGCAGUGAGGAAUAUUGGUCAAUGGACGAGAGUCUGAACCAGCCAAGUAGCGUGAAGGAUGACUGCCCUAUGGGUUGUAAACUUCUUUUAUAUGGGAAUAAAACGUUCCACGUGUGGGAUUUUGUAUGUACCAUAUGAAUAAGGAUCGGCUAACUCCGUGCCAGCAGCCGCGGUAAUGCGGAGGAUACGAGCGUUAUCCGGAUUUAUUGGGUUUACAGGGAGCGUAGGUGGAUUGUAAAGUGAGUUGUGAAAGUUUGCGGCUCAACCGUAAAAUUGCAGUUGAAACUGGCAGUCUUGAGUACAGUAGAGGUGGGCGGAAUUCGUGGUGUAGCGGUGAAAUGCUUAGAUAUCACGAAGAACUCCGAUUGCGAAGGCAGUUCACUGGACUGCAACUGACACUGAGGCUCGAAAGUGUGGGUAUCAAACAGGAUUAGAUACCCUUGUAGUC
RNAcentral lists this ribosomal RNA (460 nucleotides) under uncultured bacterium. RNAcentral describes it as "partial 16S ribosomal RNA". It matches the Rfam family "Bacterial small subunit ribosomal RNA", at positions 338 to 795 of the family's 1533-position model. The record is from RNAcentral.